This is a long non-coding RNA of Rhea pennata, 688 nucleotides long. RefSeq lists it as uncharacterized. The transcript has 3 exons. Lineage: Eukaryota; Metazoa; Chordata; Aves; Rheiformes; Rheidae. The record is from RefSeq and is a predicted model, not a curated record.
UCAAGGAAUUGUGCCAAAAGUCCCGUUGCUAGUUACCAAGUGCAUUUUUUUAAACGUCCCUUUGAUACUUCUUUCCCUCAUGCUUGCCAUGGAAUAUGCAAGUAAGAUAAUCUUUCCAUUACUUACAGAAAGCAAUUAAAAAAAGAAGAACUUCUGGCUAAACUUUUUUUUUUUUCCCCUCGUCUUUUUAAGGGGCAAAAGAAGGGAAACGAGAGGGAGAAGAAUAUUUUUUUCUUUUUGCAGAGUCCAACAUUUGGCUUUUUCCAUUUGUGGCAGAUCACUGUAACGCUAUUGUAAAACAACUUCCUGCCCCUUUUGGCUCAAGUUCCAGAAGCUGCUAGGCUAAGUUCAUAGCACAAACUUUUUUCCCCCUUGCCGAAGAAGAGAGACAAAAAAAAAAAAAAAAAAAAUCCUGCAAAUUAUUUUCUCCCUUUUCUGGCUAAUGGACUCAUAAGGUGAAUUUAUUGCAGCUCCUUAAGAAUGUUACACAAGAGACGUCGGUAUCCCAGCUGGAUAAUUCAUAAGCUUAAAAGGGACGGCUAAAAGGAGUUCAGAAACGCUCACAGCAAUAAACAGCAGAGCAGCUCGUUUCCAGGACGGCACCUCAAGCCAGUAUUCACAUCAGAUUUCCCUGCCGAACAAAGAGCAGCACUCACAGAUGAAAAAUAAUAAACAUCUUUCAGAGAAA